UACGUAGGGGGCAAGCGUUGUCCGGAUUUAUUGGGCGUAAAGAGCGUGUAGGCGGCUAGACAGGUCCGCUGUGAAAACUCGAGGCUCAACCUCGAGACGUCGGUGGAAACCGUUUGGCUAGAGUCCGGAAGAGGAGAGUGGAAUUCCCGGUGUAGCGGUGAAAUGCGCAGAUAUCGGGAAGAACACCCGUGGCGAAGGCGGCUCUCUGGGACGGUACUGACGCUGAGACGCGAAAGCGUGGGGAGCGAACAGG
RNAcentral lists this ribosomal RNA (253 nucleotides) under uncultured bacterium. RNAcentral's name for it is "partial 16S ribosomal RNA". It matches the Rfam family "Bacterial small subunit ribosomal RNA", at positions 524 to 776 of the family's 1533-position model. The record is from RNAcentral.